Molecule: non-coding RNA, 621 nt
Organism: Cajanus cajan (pigeon pea)
Lineage: Eukaryota; Viridiplantae; Streptophyta; Magnoliopsida; Fabales; Fabaceae
Source: RefSeq, a predicted model, not a curated record
UGAGGUGGGGAAUAGGAUUCUGUUUCUGAAGAUGAUUUCAAACAUGAUAAUAUAAUAUGACGCUGAUGGGUGGGACUAUAUUUAUUCCAUUUCUCGUGUUUCUAAUUGUAUUUUGGGUUUUGAGGAACAAUAUUGGAUAAGCAUUGACUUUUUGGCUUUUCAUAAAUGAUUCCGAGUCUUUUGGUUUUGCUAAUGAUAAAGGUGGGUUCCUUCCUCAUGAAACACGAGGAAACACUCUCAAAGCAUGUAUAUAUUUAUAUUAUAUCUCUCUUGCCAAUUACCAUCCAUGGCUAUAAUUGUUAACACAGCAAGUACUCGCUGCUGGGGUGGUGGGGAUGUUGUCUGGUAAAAAGCUGUUUGGCAAUGAAAACGUGGUGGCCCCCCACAGCACCAACAGUAAAAGUCAUUCUCUAGGCCUUGUGGGAAGAAACAUGACAAUAGUAUGUAUUGUUUUUGCUUUUCAACCCAGACACGGUUUCUCUAUGCUUCAGCUUUGGCACUCUUUUGCAUGCCCUUUCUGUUUCCUCUCUCUAUGGUUGAACUAUCUAUCUAUCAGUGUUAUUUUGGGAUGAUAGUUUAGUGUUUUGUAUAUCUAAAUCAUCAAUUUUCUUUCUUAAAGUA